CCUACGGGAGGCAGCAGUGAGGAAUAUUGGUCAAUGGACGAGAGUCUGAACCAGCCAAGUAGCGUGAAGGAUGACUGCCCUAUGGGUUGUAAACUUCUUUUAUAUGGGAAUAAAAUGUUCCACGUGUGGGAUUUUGUAUGUACCAUAUGAAUAAGGAUCGGCUAACUCCGUGCCAGCAGCCGCGGUAAUACGGAGGAUCCGAGCGUUAUCCGGUUUUUUUGGGUUUAAGGGGAGCGUAGGUGGAUUGUUAAGUCAGUUGUGAAAGUUUGCGGCUCAACCGUAAAAUUGCAGUUGAAACUGGCAGUCUUGAGUACAGUAGAGGUGGGCGGAAUUCGUGGUGUAGCGGUGAAAUGCUUAGAUAUCACGAAGAACUCCGAUUGCGAAGGCAGCUCACUGGACUGCAACUGACACUGAGGCUCGAAAGUGUGGGUAUCAAACAGGAUUAGAUACCCCAGUAGUC
Molecule: ribosomal RNA, 460 nt
Filed under: uncultured bacterium
Lineage: Bacteria
Description: partial 16S ribosomal RNA
Rfam family: Bacterial small subunit ribosomal RNA
Source: RNAcentral